This is a long non-coding RNA of Saccostrea cuccullata (small rock oyster), 330 nucleotides long. RefSeq lists it as uncharacterized. The transcript is spliced from 3 exons. Lineage: Eukaryota; Metazoa; Mollusca; Bivalvia; Ostreida; Ostreidae. The record is from RefSeq and is a predicted model, not a curated record.
AUUUCUAAUCAGACUGCAAAAUAUCACAGUGGAAACACUUUAUUUUCCUUGUGAUGUUAUAUGAAUGAUGAAAGAUCUUUUUCUUGCAUUUUUCAUGUUAUUCAAUUUGGACAUCGUUAUAACUCAAUGCACAGGACCUUUCAAAUGCUGUGCUGGCCAGAAGUGGAAUGAAACUAAUGGAUCUUGUGUCAAUUGUGGUGUUGGCUAUAUGUGGUAGGACUAGUACUUGUCCAUACCCAUACUACGGAAUAAAUUGCCAGCAGAAAUGUCAAUGCAGACAAAAUGAGUUUUCCUUUGAUUCUGGGCGUGGAGAGCAGACAGUACUACUGG